RNAcentral lists this long non-coding RNA (692 nucleotides) under Homo sapiens (human). RNAcentral's name for it is "HSALNT0023656". The record is from RNAcentral. Lineage: Eukaryota; Metazoa; Chordata; Mammalia; Primates; Hominidae.
CAGCAGCAAGGGACACUGUGGGGCUGCAGGUGAAAGGGAACAAAGAACUAACGGCACAAAGCAGCAUGAACAACCGCGACGGAGAACAAGCUUCUCUUUGCAAAAAUGGAUGGAGAAAAUUCUGACGUGCUAAAACACAGAUGAGGCUUGAAGACAUUACGCUAAGUGAAAUAUACCAGACACAAAAGGACAAACAUAAUUCCACUUAUUUGAGGGACCUAGAGAAGUCAAAUGCAUAGAGAUGAAAAAUAGAAUGGUUGUUGCUAAGGGCUGAGUGAGGGAGAAAUGGAGAGUGAGUGUUUAAUGGGUACAAUUCCAGUUUGGGAAGAUGAAAAAGAUCAGGAGAUGAAUGGUGGUGAGGGUCACACAACAAUGCGAAUGCCACAGAACUUAAUGCCGCUGAACUACAUAUAUACUUAAAAAUGGUUAAAAUGGAAAUUUUUAUGUUAUGUUGAUAUGGUUUGGCUGUGCCCCCACCCAAAUCUCAUCUUGAAUUGUAGUUCCCAUAAUCCCCACGUGUUGUGGGAGGUGAUUAGAUCAUGGGGGCCGUUCCCCCAUGCUGUUCUUAGGAUAGUUAGUGAGUUCUCUUGGGGUCUGUGGUUGUACAAGGGGCUUUUUCCCCCUUCACUCUGCAUUUCUCUCCCCUGCUGCCCUAUGAGUAGGUGUCUUCUGCUAUGAUUGUAAGUUUCCUG